GCAACGAUCCUGCUUCUUCCCCACAUGCAGAGAGGUCAUACUACUUAGCAUGUGCAUAGCAGGUGCAUUACUGUAGUGUAUUUUAAAAAAGUUAUUCAGAGUGGGUUUUUCUCGAAUUUAAUGAGCAGAUAAAAAUUUUCAAACAGAGCCCAUAGGUGAAAUUUGACAGAUCCAUAUUUCAGAGUCAUUUUUACUCAAAACGAAUUACUUGGAUAGAUUCGCACUUUUGGUAGAUAUUUUUUUCCCACUAUUUUUACCCAAGCCCUCUUUACCCAAGCCCUAUUUUUACCCAAAUCCCACAGGAUUUUGCCGUGGAUAAAUUGGGAGGUGUUACUAGAGACCCAUAGGAACACAUGGUAAAAAAAGCUAUUGGUAAUAAAUUAUUUCAGGAAAUGGCAAAAAAAUAAACUAACUUUCCCUAACUAAUAGAAAUGUUUUAUUAUUAAAUAUUAUUUUGCUUCAUAUCAGAUUAAAUAUUGAUGCACAAAAUCUGAAACCCUGUGUGUUUCUGACACCUGUUGGGAAGAACAACAUCUUCUGUUUCUGGUGUCUCAUUCACUCCUGUUUCACAUUUAAACUGUGGUUGAAACCCCCGGAGGUUCCACAUGAUUUGUUUGCCUCUUUCGUUUUCAAAGUCAGCAAUGAGGGCAUGAAUGGUUUAAAUCCUUGUCCUUGCACCUCACCAAAAUAAUGAAGUGAAUCCACUGUUUUGUGGAUGUGGUUCUGCUUUGGUGAUGUGGAGCUCUGAUCUCCUUCACACUAAUCCGACUUCGCGUGAAUCUCUUUUUAUUAUAUUAUUGUCCGGUACUUUCCGCUAUGACUCCUGAACUUCCUCUCUGGUGUAAAUAAAGUACACAGUGUCAUUCUGUGUGUUCUGACACCUUACUGGACGUCACUAGACUGCAGGAAGUGGAACUGUAAACCAACGCCCGAGGGUUUUCACUUUACCUCAACUAGACUAAUCAUCUUCCUGUUUUCCGAACAGGAAGCGGUUGAACAGCGGCCUCCAGAAGUACCGGGCCCUAGAUCACUCUACUGGUCCCAAACUCCUUCCUGGUCAUUUGACCUGCCCCCUGGUAACCACAGUGUAUUCCCCGUUGACGGGGGCCAAAGACUUCAACACGAACAACAAAAUAAACAAUAUGUGGUACACAGCCUGCUGAAGACAUUGAGCUAGGAAUGAAGUGUGUGUGUGAGUGUGUGUGUGUGUGUGUGUGUGUGUGUGUGUGUGUGUGUGUGUGUGUGUGUGUGUGUGUGUGUGUGUGUGUGUGUGUGUGUGUGUGUGUGUGUGUGUGUGUGUCAAGCCCCCAGGAACAGUGCAUACUUCCGCAAUCCACCAGUGCUCAGCAGCCAAGCCUGGUAUUGCAGCUGUUUAAGCGGGCUGUUGAUCGGUCCCUCGAUUCAAGGGACCCAGAAGUAGAUAUCUCCGUUCACUCCAAUACAAGUGGGGAACAGGAAUGUGUCUCCACAAAAAAUGUCUGGAUAUCAAUCAAAGGCUCAAUAUAUCUUUAGGCCAUGUCCUAAAAAAAUAAAUAUUUUCAGAAACGAGCGUUUUAUUAGCCGUUCUCUCGAAUUAUUUUUAGCUGGAGAAGGAGGGGUGUGCAGCUGAAAGGAGUCGUAGUGAAACAAAUGUUGUUUCGACCUGGCAUCCGAGAGGGCCUAGUUCAGUGCUCCGUUAACGUGUCCGAUUUUUAGACUGGUUCAGCUGCUGCUCAAUAACUCUCACGGUCCUCUGCUUGCGAUCAUUGUGAUUCACCAUAUAAUGAUCCAUUUAUUCAAAAGAUCCAAAGACAAGGAACAGGUGCAUUACGGUAUCAUUUUAUAUUAUUGUUAAUAGUCUAACAUUUCAACGUUGGUAUUUAAUUUUUCAUUUGCUUGUUUUGCUACCUAUGUAUGACAGUUAACAAUGUUGGUGUAUUACAAUUAUAUAUGUGUGUAGGCCACUCCAACUUCGUUGCUGGUUGAAAUGUAACCAUUUAUUUGUACAUAAGUUAUUGAUUGCAUUUUUCGUAAAUAGUUAGUUGGAAGGAAUCUGUUUCUUAAGCAGUGUGACACUUGGAGCUUGCAUGACGGAGCACAAGUUGGCACAAAGCACUCAAAACUGCAAAGAGACAUUGUUCAAUUGUAGACUUGGAGCUUGCAUACGGAGCACAAGGCAUAGUUUAAUAGUGCAUUUAUUUUUGAACAGCACAUCCGAUCAAUGACCUCUGUAAUUUUUUGUACAUUUAAAUGUAUGCCCAUCACUAACUGAGUUUAGCUUUAUCUAUUAUUACUUUUAUUUUCUUCCCUUCUUUUCUUAAUGUUAUGUGUAUUUUGUUUUUAAGAUAAAACAAGAGAAACCCAAACAUAUCUUAUGGUCUCGUAUUUACGUAAAUGUUUCAUGUAUUUAUAUGUUUUUUACAUGUUGUGACUGUCUGAGUUUGUGAUGUGGGUCUAUGGUCUCGUAUAGUUAUGUACAUGUUUCAUGUAUUUAUGUGUUUUUUUCAUGUUGUGACUGUCUGAGUUUCUGAUGUGAGUCUUUGUUCUAUGUUCCCACUCUUGGCCUGCACCUUAACGCGGUGAGUGGGCUUUAAACUUCGUUUUAUUUUUUUUGCUUGUUAUUGAUUGUUUGUCACAGUCUAUCUUAUUAAUUAUACAAAGCCUUAACUAAACCCCUUCUCUUCUGUUUGCAGAAACUUGAAACUUCAGAGUAUAUUUUAUCUUAAGUUAGAAAAUCUUUGUUUCCUCAUCAGAUCCCAGUCAAUCAUGCUCCUGUACUUGUCUGCCGUGCCACCAUCAUGCCUCAUGCAUCACCUCUCAGCGCCCUGCCCAGCUGCAUCUUAUUCCGUUACUCCAGCUCUUUCACAUAAGUGACAAACACUCUCCACCCAAGUGUUUUUAAUAUUUUAUUAAUUAUGCUCAAGGUGUGCUUAAGUGGCCUGAAAGGUGCCCAUCCAUAAAAAGCUUUUUAUUAAUAUAACAUUAUGGCUCCAUCAAAAGCAAAGUACACCUGCCAUUUACAGUUAUCAUUUAUACUAUCCUAGACAUCUUUAAUCUUAUUUACAUAGGCCUACAGUAGGCCUGAUCUCCUCUGAAUAUUCCGUUUCAGUAUUACUUGUUUUUGAAACCUGACGUGGGGCUGGCACCGCCACCAUCAUAUCAGUCUUAUUUAUUGCACCCACACAUAAUAGGUCCACGAUACCAUGUGGGGUCAUUUCAGACUCCUUUGCUUCCUAACACCUUGUGAGUUCCCUGGGUACACCAGCUGAUGGGUCUGUGUAUAUAUUGGGCAUUUGAUUCUCGUUUCAGAAACAGAAAUAUAUAAAAAAACGAGUGGUAAUUAUUAUUUCUGUUUUAACAUUCAAAAAGGUAUAUACCAGGUGCUUUUCUUAUAAAGUCAAAAAGGGGCAAACUAAUCUAAAAUAAUAAUCGUUAAACAUAUAGAGAAUCAUCGGGGGAUUACUUCCAUGGUUGGUAAACAAUGCGACUGCUAUCGCUCAGACCUCUCGCUUAUGAUGCUACAAUGCUAACAAUGCUAAAAAACAAGAAUAUUUCUGCAUCCGGUACGUCAUGAAGUAGGGCGUGGCUAUGGACCCAUGAUGCGGAAGCAUAUCUCUCCUUGAUGUUGCCCUGCGCCAUUGAGCAGUUUACAUAGGAAUGAAUAGGCGCCAUUUUGGAAUCCGUUGUCAAUUUUAUAAUACGUCCAUGGUUCCGGCGCCUA
Long non-coding RNA from Gadus macrocephalus (Pacific cod), 3700 nucleotides. RefSeq lists it as uncharacterized. NCBI's taxonomy places the organism in Eukaryota, Metazoa, Chordata, Actinopteri, Gadiformes, Gadidae. The record is from RefSeq and is a predicted model, not a curated record. The transcript is spliced from 3 exons.